ACGGGUCCAUCUGCUUGGCAUCACACCCAUCCAUCCACAUGGAAACAUCCCAUCGUGUCAAUGAGUCAUGUCAAAGAGUCAUAUCGUUAAAUAAAAAACAGUAAUGGAAUUUGUGACUAUGCAGCCUUAAACAUAAGAUGAGCUUGAGCUUUUAAAUUACAGAAAAGCACCUCUCCAGAAGGGAGGACAUACUGGACCUGCGCAGAACAGGUUAGUUCGUGGAUUUGAAACCAUGAAGGAACCACGCCGUCAGAUGGAGUUUCUGGAGCUGCGGAUGAAGAAGCUAGCCGUUGUCCUGAGAGAGAGCAGAUCUGGUCUGCUGGGGAGAGUCCCUGGAGGAAGGAUGGACAUCUGCAGCAGUGACCAGGGAAGAGGUUCAGCACUGCCCCGAAUCCCGUCUUCAGCCGAGGACAUUUAAGAAGGAACUGAGGGAGGGUGCAGGAUGCACACACUCAGGCAGACCCUAACAAUGCCGCGAGACAGCAGCUGAGCGCAUGCAUCCCGACCAGGCACUGCCACCGAAGAUCUCUAAUCAACGGCGCCAGGACGCACCAUCACCUGGAGUGGAGCACCCACAGGGACAGCACUCGAAGAACAACACAUCUUUGCUCAAAGUGUUAGGGUGACCAAAUGU
Molecule: long non-coding RNA, 634 nt
Organism: Dermochelys coriacea (leatherback sea turtle)
Lineage: Eukaryota; Metazoa; Chordata; Testudines; Dermochelyidae
Exons: 3
Source: RefSeq, a predicted model, not a curated record